RNAcentral lists this ribosomal RNA (700 nucleotides) under uncultured bacterium. RNAcentral's name for it is "bacterial SSU rRNA". It matches the Rfam family "Bacterial small subunit ribosomal RNA", at positions 695 to 1396 of the family's 1533-position model. The record is from RNAcentral.
UAUUGUGAAGAAUACCAAUGGCGAAGGCAGCCUCCUGGUUCUGUACUGACACUGAGGUGCGAAAGCGUGGGUAGCGAACAGGAUUAGAUACCCUGGUAGUCCACGCCGUAAACGAUGACAACCAGCUGUUGGGAAGCAAUGCUUUUCAGUGGCGCAGCUAACGUCUUAAGUUGUCCGCCUGGGGAGUACGGCCGCAAGGUUAAAACUCAAAUGAAUUGACGGGGACCCGCACAAGCGGUGGAGCAUGUGGUUUAAUUCGAUGCAACGCGAAAAACCUUACCUACUCUUGACAUCCUUGGAAUCUCUUGUAAUGAGAGAGUGCCUUUUGGAACCAAGUGACAGGUGCUGCAUGGCUGUCGUCAGCUCGUGUCGUGAGAUGUUCCGUUAAGUCGGAUAACGAGCGCAACCCUUACCCUUAUUUGCCAGCGGUUCGGCCGGGAACUAUAAGGGGACUGCCGGUGAUAAACCGGAGGAAGGUGAGGACGACGUCAAGUCAUCAUGGCCCUUACGAGUAGGGCUACACACGUGCUACAAUGGGAAGUACAGAGGGACGCCAAAGCGUGAGCUGGAGCUAAUCUCAUAAAACUUUUCGUAGUCCGGAUUGCAGUCUGCAACUCGACUGCAUGAAGUCGGAAUCGCUAGUAAUCGCGGAUCAGCACGCCGCGGUGAAUACGUUCUCGGGCCUUGUACACACCGCCCA